AUUGAACGCUGGCGGCAUGCCUAACACAUGCAAGUCGAACGGCAGCAUGGUCUGUAGCAAUACAGAUUGAUGGCGAGUGGCGGACGGGUGAGUAACGCGUAGGGAUCUGCCCUGUAGAGGGGGACAACCCGGGGAAACCCGGGCUAAUACCGCAUAGUACUCUGAGGAGGAAAGCUGGCAGGCAACUGCUGGCGCUAUGGGAGGAACCUGCGUCCGAUUAGCCAGUUGGUGAGGUAAUGGCUCACCAAAGCGAUGAUCGGUAGCUGGUCUGAGAGGAUGACCAGCCACACUGGGACUGAGACACGGCCCAGACUCCUACGGGAGGCAGCAGUGGGGAAUACUGGACAGUGGGGGCAACCCUGAUCCAGCAAUGCCGCGUGUGUGAAGAAGGCCUUCGGGUUGUAAAGCACUUUGGGCGGGGAAGAAGGUAAGGUGUUUAAGAGAUGCUUUACUUGACUGUACCCGCAGAACUAGCACCGGCUAACUCUGUGCCAGCAGCCGCCGUAA
Molecule: ribosomal RNA, 507 nt
Filed under: uncultured bacterium
Lineage: Bacteria
Description: partial 16S ribosomal RNA
Rfam family: Bacterial small subunit ribosomal RNA
Source: RNAcentral